GUGACCCCAAGUCAGGCGGGACCACCCGCUGAGUUU
This 36-nucleotide ribosomal RNA is filed under the name Cuscuta umbellata. RNAcentral describes it as "partial 26S ribosomal RNA". The record is from RNAcentral. Lineage: Eukaryota; Viridiplantae; Streptophyta; Magnoliopsida; Solanales; Convolvulaceae.